UGAUUUCUGUUAGUCUGGGGUAGAUCUUCUCUAGUCUUGGGUUCAUUGAGUAUCCUAUUAAAAUAACCUUUCUGCCUAGCUUGCGGUCAAUCUGGGUCGACUCCUCUAAGGUUGUAGUUGGCUCCUCCUACUCUAAAAAUUCCAAAAUGGUUUAUAUAUAUCUCCAACCUUUGAAAUUGAUUUCUCAAGACCUUUUCAUGCACUUAAAUACAAUAAGCUUCCUGAAAA
RNAcentral lists this long non-coding RNA (228 nucleotides) under Phoenix dactylifera (date palm). RNAcentral describes it as "long non-coding RNA (PDAC_LNC006707)". The record is from RNAcentral. Lineage: Eukaryota; Viridiplantae; Streptophyta; Magnoliopsida; Arecales; Arecaceae.